GUGCUCACUUUGGCAGCAUAUAUACUAAAAUUGGAUCGAUACAGAGAAGAUUAGCAUGGCCCCUGCACAAAGAUGACAUGCAAAUUCGUGAAGCAUUCCAUAUUUUU
Gorilla gorilla gorilla (western lowland gorilla) is the source of this 107-nucleotide small nuclear RNA. The record is from Ensembl. NCBI's taxonomy places the organism in Eukaryota, Metazoa, Chordata, Mammalia, Primates, Hominidae.